This is a non-coding RNA of Potamilus streckersoni, 73 nucleotides long. The record is from the annotation of a GenBank genome assembly. NCBI's taxonomy places the organism in Eukaryota, Metazoa, Mollusca, Bivalvia, Unionida, Unionidae.
GCUUCAGUGGCCUAGUGGUUAGAGCAUCCGCCUUGGAUGCGGGAGGUCAUGGGUUCGAUCCCUGGUCAAGUCA